Long non-coding RNA from Pelmatolapia mariae (spotted tilapia), 1285 nucleotides. RefSeq lists it as uncharacterized. The transcript is spliced from 2 exons. Lineage: Eukaryota; Metazoa; Chordata; Actinopteri; Cichliformes; Cichlidae. The record is from RefSeq and is a predicted model, not a curated record.
AUUCUUUAAAAUACAAGCGAGUCAGAUACCAAGGGCACAGAGAUGAAGCAGGUCUGAUCAGAAACAGUUAAUUUUCCGGCCAGAAAGCACAAAUAAAAACACCCUUAAAACGGGUGUUGUUGUCACCCUGCUGGGUCCAUAGGAGCCUCUACCAGGAGGCUGAGGGGCAGCGUUGGAGGUCAUCAGUGUUUUUAUCCUGAAGUUACCAGAAAGGCUCAACUUCACUCUUUGUUGCAUUAUAGAGACAGAAGUUUAAAUAGUGUUUAACAGGACAAUCAAAGCUAAAAUGGUUUAAAAGAUGAACUCAUUAAAAAACACUAACAAAUCUUCAUGAUUCAAAUACUGAGAAGCUUCAACAACAAAUAUGUGUUCAAGCCAACAUGAUGUUUGCUCCUGUAACUGAUUGUUUUUCCAUCUUGUUCUCUGAAUAUGUUACCAAAGGGCUCCAUAACUAAUGUCAUUCAUUUUGUUUCUUAUCAUUGAAACUGUUGUAGAAAAUCCACUUUGUUAAGAAAACAGAGAAAAGACCGUCUUUCUAUGAAACUUCAGAAAAAUGUUGUACAAGACAAACUGAACAACAUCAGAGCGACAUCAUGACUUCCUGUAACUUUUCUCUAUCCAGCUAAACAUGAGUACCUUCCAUUUUCUCCUGCAGAGGAUUCUGGGAAAAGUCCAUCGUGCACUGACGUCCUGUGUGUGUGUUUUAUUGUGCAGAUGCAGCUGCAGUCUGCUCAGCAGUGAGAACUGAAGACGUCAGUCAAAGAGAAGGAAAAACAGUCAGAGCUGAGAGAGUUUCUACCAGAGCCAAAUGUCAUCGACUCCUCACUGAAGUCGUCCACCAGUCCAACCACUGGAAUCCAGCUGCUGCUCUCUAACUGGUCCACACAGCAGCUCAGACCUGACACAUUCACUGUAAACACACUGGUUUAUAUUCUGUUUGUUCUCCUCAUGAAGGAAACCUCACACAACCACUGAGGCCAGAAAGUUCAAACAGGACAGUUAUUAUUCCUUUCUUUUAUAAAGAAGCUGGGAAACUGACUUUACCAAACUUUUUAUAUUAAAAAGAUAACAUUUUCUUUACCAAACCUUUCAGAAUAAAAGCAUGACCAAGACAUCAUUUAUACAUAAACAGUAAUAAAUCUUAUGUAACUAAAAUGUAGAUCUAAUCCAUGUUUUCAUGUCUUCAGUAACUUUGCUGUUAUUUAUGUUAUUUCUAAGUGUGCUGUCGUCUCCACAGCAGUGAUCUGGUUUCUCUGCAGGUUCAAUAAACUUUGGUCUCACUUGA